Podarcis lilfordi (Lilford's wall lizard) is the source of this 72-nucleotide non-coding RNA. The record is from the annotation of a GenBank genome assembly. Lineage: Eukaryota; Metazoa; Chordata; Lepidosauria; Squamata; Lacertidae.
GCAACCAUUAUCAGUUGGUAGAGCAUGAGACUCUUAAUCUCAGGGUCGUGUGUUGGAGCCCCACGUUGGGCA